UACAGAGGGUGCGAGCGUUAAUCGGAUUUACUGGGCGUAAAGCGUGCGUAGGCGGCUUUUUAAGUCGGAUGUGAAAUCCCCGAGCUUAACUUGGGAAUUGCAUUCGAUACUGGGAAGCUAGAGUAUGGGAGAGGAUGGUAGAAUUCCAGGUGUAGCGGUGAAAUGCGUAGAGAUCUGGAGGAAUACCGAUGGCGAAGGCAGCCAUCUGGCCUAAUACUGGCGCUGAGGUACGAAAGCAUGGGGAGCAAACAGG
RNAcentral lists this ribosomal RNA (253 nucleotides) under uncultured bacterium. RNAcentral describes it as "partial 16S ribosomal RNA". It matches the Rfam family "Bacterial small subunit ribosomal RNA", at positions 524 to 776 of the family's 1533-position model. The record is from RNAcentral.